Molecule: transfer RNA, 73 nt
Filed under: Treponema sp.
Lineage: Bacteria; Pseudomonadati; Spirochaetota; Spirochaetia; Treponematales; Treponemataceae
Also listed under: 1 other name
Description: tRNA-Met
Rfam family: tRNA
About the family: Transfer RNA (tRNA) molecules are approximately 80 nucleotides in length. Their secondary structure includes four short double-helical elements and three loops (D, anti-codon, and T loops).
Source: RNAcentral
GGCGGAAUAGCUCAGUCGGUAGAGCACACGGCUCAUAUCCGUGAUGUCUAUGGUUCGAUCCCAUAUUCCGCUA